Molecule: ribosomal RNA, 465 nt
Filed under: uncultured bacterium
Lineage: Bacteria
Description: partial 16S ribosomal RNA
Rfam family: Bacterial small subunit ribosomal RNA
Source: RNAcentral
CCUACGGGUGGCUGCAGUGGGGAAUAUUGCGCAAUGGGCGAAAGCCUGACGCAGCGACGCCGCGUGAGGGAUGAAGGUCUUCGGAUCGUUAACCUCUGUCAGCAGGGAAGCACGGUCACUGUGCUAAUCAGCAGUGAAUUGACGGUCCCUGCAAAGGAAGCACCGGCUAACUCCGUGCCAGCAGCCGCGGUAAUACGGAGGGUGCGUGCGUUAAUUGGAAUUACUGGGCGUAAAGCGCUCGUAGGCGGGAGGUCAAGUCAAGGGUGAAAUCCCCGCGCGCAACGUGGGAACUGCCUUUGAAACUGGCAAACUAGAGUGUGUGAGAGGAUAGUGGAAUUGCAGGUGUAGGAGUGAAAUCCGUAGAUAUCUGGAGGAACAUCAGUGGCGAAGGCGACUAUCUGGCACAUAACUGACGCUGAGGAGCGAAAGCGUGGGUAGCGAACAGGAUUAGAUACCCGGGUAGUC